AUUGAACGCUGGCGGCAGGCCUAACACAUGCAAGUCGAGCGGAGCGGCGGACGGGUGAGUAAUGCCUAUGAAUCUGCCUGGUAGUGGGGGAUCAGGUUCGGAAACGGGCGCUGAUACCGCAUCCUAUCAGCUGAGCAUAGGUCGGAGUAGAUAGUUGGUGUGGUAAAGGCAUACCAAGGCGACGAUCCGUAGCUGGUCUGAGAGGAUGAUCAGUCACACUGGAACUGAGACACGGUCCAGACUCCUACGGGAGGCAGCAGUGGGGAAUAUUGGACAAUGGGCGAAAGCCUGAUCCAGCCAUGCCGCGUGUGUGAAGAAGGUCUUCGGAUUGUAAAGCACUUUAAGUUGGGAGGCGUUACCAACAGAAUAAGCACCGGCUAACUUCGUGCCAGCAGCCGCGGUAAUAC
Molecule: ribosomal RNA, 407 nt
Filed under: uncultured bacterium
Lineage: Bacteria
Description: partial 16S ribosomal RNA
Rfam family: Bacterial small subunit ribosomal RNA
Source: RNAcentral